Molecule: long non-coding RNA, 1739 nt
Organism: Capsicum annuum
Lineage: Eukaryota; Viridiplantae; Streptophyta; Magnoliopsida; Solanales; Solanaceae
Exons: 2
Source: RefSeq, a predicted model, not a curated record
GAUCAAAAUUCUGCAUUUUCUUUUAUUAUAUGAAUAUUGUGCAUGACUACCAGAUAGAGUAGGACAUUCGGGCCUUCAUCAUUUGGGAUGUCCGUCACGGCCAGGCCCUAGUUCGAGUCGUGACAAUCAGUAAGCUAAGUUUGAGUAUAUGACCAUAGAGCAGAAUUUUAUCUUCCAUGUUUACGAUAGAUAUUAAAAGGAAAGCCUCUCUGGUCAUCAAGAUAGGGAUCAUUAAUCGGUUGCAAGAUUCAUACAAAUAGCAUUUCAUACAGUUUAGCAUGUUAUGCUGAGACUUCAUGCAUAAUUUUUCCUUUCCCAUAAUAAAUUAUUGCAUAGAAAAACUCGUAUCAAUUAAAAUUUACCUGUUAGAAGAUCAUUAUCUUGAAAUAGUUAUUUCAGUACAUAUGAUAGCUUCCAUUCUAUAGUAACACUAUCUUUAUAUUCUAAUCUUUCCAUCAGCUUCUUUAUAGGUUCACUAAAAUGAAGAUACUAACCUAUGCUCAAAUUUUCAGUAUCAGUUACUGUUGAGAUUUUGCAUACUGUACAUGUAAAUAAUAGUGGAAUAGGAUAGUUUACAUACUAUAACUAAUUCUCUAUGUGUUUGGCCCAAUAUUGUUUUAGGCCUGUUUAUUUAUGCUUAUUUGUUAUCUUUCUGGGUCAUAUAUAAAGGGACAAGGCCCAUGUCAUAAGCUGAACUUUCCAUUUUUACUUAGAGAUAUUUUUUCAUCCACUCUAGAAGAUUCUUCCAUCAGUGAACUUUUCUCAAUGGAGGUUUCAUGAUUCUAACGUGGUAUUAGAGCAUAGGCCGUCGUAGAUCUGCUCCUAAGCUUUCUUCUGAUUCUACCCUCAACGAUUAUUGUUGACAUUUGUUUGUGACAAUAAAAAUUCCGAUUAUCUCCGGUUGGUGGUUUCGUUGGAGUUUUUCAUCGGAUUUCAGGUGUUGCAGAUUCCAAUUACUAUUUUAUUCAGAAUUAUUAUAGUUUCUUCAGAAUUGUUGUGGUUUCCUCGGAAUUUUUUGUUAGAUUUUAGAGUUCCAACUUCUCAUUCGUGAGUUCUUUUAGUGUGUGGUUUUGUAGUACGAGGCCGUCUCCUUUCGGUUGCGAAGGAGCCCGUCUGAAGAACAGGGUGAGAAAAUUGCAAGUCAGGAGCCCGCCUGAAGAAUAGGGUAAUGGAAUUGGAAGUUGAUGAAACCGAAAGUCAAAAAUGGCAAGUCAGAAGUCCGCCUGAAGAACAGGGUAAAUAAAUAAAAGUCAAGCAACACAGUGAAGCAAUUGAAAGCCAAGCAAUAAGCUGAAGAAAUGGCAAGUCAAGAGUUCGGCGAAGAAUAAAGUGAUGAAACUUAAUUCAGGAAUCCAAAAGAAACUACAUAGAUAGGAUUUUUUCAACUUUAUUUAUUUUUAGCUUGUAAUUUUUCAUUUCUGAUGUAAUAAUAGAGCUGCGGACCGAAACCUCGACGGGACCUUACACGACUCUCCAACUUGGUGUAGUCCUUCUUCUUCCAAUCUUUUGAGAUACCUGUCAAUUGAUUCCUUCAUAACUGGGGUAGGUACGAUGUCCUAAGUCAAGACUCGGUUGUCCUUCCUCCUUCUGUUUCUUCCUUUGAAUGAUGGUCGGGUCAAAAUUCUGUCUCAUUGUCUACUUCUUUAUUUGAAAACACUUUGUGUUUACAUUCAAAGGGGGAAUGAUGUAGACACGUAAUUUUGUCCCUCCGAAAUAUUAUUUUUCGCCUAUUUACCUUA